GACGAACGCUGGCGGCGUGCUUAACACAUGCAAGUCGAACGGAAAGGCCCUGCUUUUGUGGGGUGCUCGAGUGGCGAACGGGUGAGUAACACGUGAGUAACCUGCCCUUGACUUUGGGAUAACUUCAGGAAACUGGGGCUAAUACCGGAUAGGAGCUCCUGCUGCAUGGUGGGGGUUGGAAAGUUUCGGCGGUUGGGGAUGGACUCGCGGCUUAUCAGCUUGUUGGUGGGGUAGUGGCUUACCAAGGCUUUGACGGGUAGCCGGCCUGAGAGGGUGACCGGCCCCAUUGGGACUGAGAGACGGCCCAGACUCCUACGGGGGGCAGCAGGGGGGAAUAUUGCACAAUGGGCGGAAGGCUGAUGCAGCAACGCCGCGUGCGGGAUGACGGCCUUCGGGUUGUAAACCGCUUUCGCCUGUGACGAAGCGUGAGUGACGGUAAUGGGUAAAGAAGCACCGGCUAACUACGUG
RNAcentral lists this ribosomal RNA (468 nucleotides) under uncultured bacterium. Its description in RNAcentral is "partial 16S ribosomal RNA". It matches the Rfam family "Bacterial small subunit ribosomal RNA", at positions 28 to 507 of the family's 1533-position model. The record is from RNAcentral.